GAAAGGCCUACGACUCUGUUGAAUGGGAUUUUCUGAAAGCAGUACUUCUAGAAUUUGGAAUUCCAUACAAACUAGUCGUGCUAAUAAUGAAAUGUGUUAGCACUGUCAGCUACUCCAUUCUAAUAAAUGGAGGACUGACCAACAUAUUUGAAGCACGGAAAGGAUUAAGACAGGGAGAUCCAAUGUCCCCCUACCUAUUUGUCCUAGUUAUGGAAUAUCUAACUAGAUCUCUAAAGAAACUGAGCAGGAAUCCAGAUUUUAACUUCCAUCCAAAAUGCACCAACCUACAAAUCACACACAUAUGCUUUGCAGACGACCUUCUGAUGUGCUGUAGGUCCAGAUUUUAACUCCCAUCCAAAAUGCACCAACCUUCAAAUCACACACAUAUGCUUUGCAGACGACCUUCUGAUGUGCUGUAGGACAGAUGAAAUAUCCAUGAAACUACUGAUGAGGGAAUUUGAACAUUUCUCUAGUGUAUCAGGACUUAAAGCCAAUAUGGAUAAAAGUUCUAUAGAUAUAGCAGAUGUCUCAACUGAAUUCUAACAGAAUAUUUGUUCUGAACUAAACCUCACGGAGGGCACCUUCCCCUUCAAAUACCUAAGAGUUCCCAUAUCUACAAAAAAGCUCAAUAUAUCACUAUGUAUGCCCCUAGUGGAAAAGAUAGUGGACAGAAUCAGAAGCUGGACAUCCAAACUCUUAUCUUAUGCUGGUCGAAUACAACUUAUCAAGAGUAUCCUGUUUGAAAUGCAAACUUACUGGGCACUGAUAUUCCUCAUACCAAAAAAAAUCAUAAAACUGGUCAAUGGGAUUUGCAGAAAUUAUCUGUGGACUGGUAGUCAUGAAAAAGGCCGUAGGAACCCGAUUGCCUGGGAAACAAUGUGCAAACCAAAUGCAGGAGGAGGUUUGAACAUUAUUUCCUAUGAAAGGUGGAAUAAAGCAGCUCUGUCAAAACUCCUCUGGGCAUUAAUGGUAAAAAAAAGAUAAACUCUGGAUCAAAUGAAUCCACUGUCACUACAUAAAGAAGAAGGACCUUAAUACAAUGAAAAUCCCUAAACAAGCUAGCUGGCUCGUUAGGAAACUGAUUGGAGCAAGGGAAUGGUGGGCAAAUGAUNNN
This 1114-nucleotide long non-coding RNA is filed under the name Nicotiana benthamiana. Its description in RNAcentral is "long non-coding RNA (NBEN_LNC030525)". Lineage: Eukaryota; Viridiplantae; Streptophyta; Magnoliopsida; Solanales; Solanaceae. The record is from RNAcentral.